AACGUGCUCCGGGGUCGGUGAGAAUCCGAACCGGCGGUGACAGUCCGCGAACCCGCAUCCGUGCGGGCCGACCCGGUGGAACUCCGGGACCGACGGUGAUGCGACGCGAGUCGCGAGUCCGGAUGGAAGGCAGCACGCG
Molecule: non-coding RNA, 139 nt
Filed under: Microbacterium mangrovi
Lineage: Bacteria; Bacillati; Actinomycetota; Actinomycetes; Micrococcales; Microbacteriaceae
Description: FMN sequence
Rfam family: FMN riboswitch aptamer (RFN element)
About the family: The RFN element is a highly conserved domain that is found frequently in the 5'-untranslated regions of prokaryotic mRNAs that encode for flavin mononucleotide (FMN) biosynthesis and transport proteins.
Source: Rfam by way of RNAcentral